RNAcentral lists this ribosomal RNA (1773 nucleotides) under Lachnospiraceae bacterium 8_1_57FAA. Its description in RNAcentral is "bacterial LSU rRNA". It matches the Rfam family "Bacterial large subunit ribosomal RNA", at positions 1055 to 2925 of the family's 2925-position model. Lineage: Bacteria; Bacillati; Bacillota; Clostridia; Lachnospirales; Lachnospiraceae. The record is from RNAcentral.
ACAGAUCAAUGCAAGAGGAAAGCUUCUUGAUGAAAUCAAGAAGAUUCCAAAACAGAUGAAACAGACUGCUGUUGGUCUGCGUUGAUCACUGUUCAUCGGUAGAGGAGCAUUCUUAAAGAGACGAAGCUGUACCGAAAGGAGCAGUGGAUUUUUAAGAAGAGAGAAUGCCGGAAUGAGUAGCGAGAAAGAGGUGAGAAUCCUCUUGGCCGAAUAUCUAAGGUUUCCAGGGUAAAGCUGAUCUGCCCUGGGUAAGUCGGGGCCUAAGGCGAGGUCGAAAGACGUAGUCGAUGGAUAACAGGUUGAAAUUCCUGUACUAUCCUGUAACAGAACUGUGGGGACGCAGACAGAGAGCACAAGCCGGGAAUGGAAAGACCGGUGCAAGCGAGGUAGGAGUACAUCAGGCAAAUCCGGUGUGCAAUCCGAAGACGUGAUGCGGAUCGAAAAGAAGUAGAGAAGUGUGUGAGCUGGCUGCCAAGAAAAGCCGCUAUUGUUUACAGGAUACCCGUACCGUAAACCGACACAGGUGGAUGAGGAGAGAAUCCUAAGGCCGACGGGAGAAGCAUUGUUAAGGAACUCGGCAAAAUGACUCCGUAACUUCGGGAGAAGGAGUGCCAUGCGAAUGGCCGCAGAGAAUUGGCCCAAGCAACUGUUUAGCAAAAACACAGGUCUAUGCGAAACCGAAAGGUGAGGUAUAUGGGCUGACGCCUGCCCGGUGCUGGAAGGUUAAGGGGAGAGGUUAGCGCAAGCGAAGCUUUGAACUUAAGCCCCAGUAAACGGCGGCCGUAACUAUAACGGUCCUAAGGUAGCGAAAUUCCUUGUCGGGUAAGUUCCGACCCGCACGAAAGGCGUAAUGAUUUGGGCACUGUCUCAACAAUGCACCCGGUGAAAUUGAAAUACCAGUGAAGAUGCUGGUUACCUGCGCCAGGACGGAAAGACCCCAUGGAGCUUUACUCUAGCUUGAUACUGGGAUUCGAUAUUGCAUGUACAGGAUAGGUGGGAGACUAGGAAGUGGUGACGCCAGUUGCCAUGGAGUCAAUGUUGGGAUACCACCCUUGCAGUAUUGGGUUUCUAACCAGCAGCCGUGAUCCGGCUGGGGGACAAUGUCAGGUGGGGAGUUUGACUGGGGCGGUCGCCUCCGAAAGGGUAUCGGAGGCGCUCAAAGGUUCCCUCAGAAUGGUUGGAAACCAUUCGAAGAGUGCAAAGGCAGAAGGGAGCUUGACUGCGACACCGACGGGUGGAGCAGGUACGAAAGUAGGACUUAGUGAUCCGGUGGUAUAAAGUGGGAUUGCCAUCGCUCAACGGAUAAAAGCUACCCUGGGGAUAACAGGCUUAUCACUCCCAAGAGUUCACAUCGACGGAGUGGUUUGGCACCUCGAUGUCGGCUCAUCGCAUCCUGGGGCUGUAGUCGGUCCCAAGGGUUGGGCUGUUCGCCCAUUAAAGCGGUACGCGAGCUGGGUUCAGAACGUCGUGAGACAGUUCGGUCCCUAUCCGGCGUGGGCGUAGGAUAUUUGAGAGGAGCUGCCCUUAGUACGAGAGGACCGGGGUGGACUGGCCGCUGGUGUAUCUGUUGUAUUACCAAGUGCAUAGCAGAGUAGCCAAGCCGGGAAGGGAUAAACGCUGAAGGCAUCUAAGCGUGAAGCCCCCCUCAAGAUGAGAUAUCCCAUAACGUCAAGUUAGUAAGACCCCUUGAAGACGACGAGGUAGAUAGGGCAGAGGUGGAAGUGUGGUAACACAUGGAGCUGACUGUUACUAAUAGGUCGAGGGCAUAACCAA